GGAUGCGAUCAUACCAGCACUAAUGCACCGGAUCCCAUUAGAACUCCAAAGUUAAGCGUGCUUGGGCGAGAGUAGUACUAGGAUGGGUGACCUCUUGGGAAGUCCUCGUGUUGCAUUCC
Molecule: ribosomal RNA, 119 nt
Filed under: Triticum dicoccoides
Lineage: Eukaryota; Viridiplantae; Streptophyta; Magnoliopsida; Poales; Poaceae
Source: RNAcentral